This 495-nucleotide ribosomal RNA is filed under the name uncultured bacterium. Its description in RNAcentral is "partial 16S ribosomal RNA". It matches the Rfam family "Bacterial small subunit ribosomal RNA", at positions 28 to 507 of the family's 1533-position model. The record is from RNAcentral.
GAUGAACGCUGGCGGCGUGCCUAAUACAUGCAAGUCGAGCGAACGGACGAGAAGCUUGCUUCUCUGAUGUUAGCGGCGGACGGGUGAGUAACACGUGGAUAACCUACCUAUAAGACUGGGAUAACUUCGGGAAACCGGAGCUAAUACCGGAUAAUAUUUUGAACCGCAUGGUUCAAAAGUGAAAGACGGUCUUGCUGUCACUUAUAGAUGGAUCCGCGCUGCAUUAGCUAGUUGGUAAGGUAACGGCUUACCAAGGCAACGAUGCAUAGCCGACCAGAGGGUGAUCGGCCACACUGGAACUGAGACACGGUCCAGACUCCUACGGGAGGCAGCAGUAGGGAAUCUUCCGCAAUGGGCGAAAGCCUGACGGAGCAACGCCGCGUGAGUGAUGAAGGUCUUCGGAUCGUAAAACUCUGUUAUUAGGGAAGAACAUAUGUGUAAGUAACUGUGCACAUCUUGACGGUACCUAAUCAGAAAGCCACGGCUAACUACGUG